AUACGGAGGGUCCAAGCGUUAUCCGGAAUCAUUGGGUUUAAAGGGUUCGCAGGCGGUUUAAUAAGUCAGUGGUGAAAUCCUACAGCUCAACUGUAGAACUGCCAUUGAUACUGUUAGACUUGAAUAUAGUUGGAGUAGGCGGAAUGUGUAGUGUAGCGGUGAAAUGCUUAGAUAUUACACAGAACACCGAUAGCGAAGGCAGCUUACUAAACUAUUAUUGACGCUCAUGAACGAAAGCGUGGGGAGCGAACAGGAUUAGAAACCCCAGUAGUCC
This 274-nucleotide ribosomal RNA is filed under the name uncultured bacterium. RNAcentral's name for it is "partial 16S ribosomal RNA". It matches the Rfam family "Bacterial small subunit ribosomal RNA", at positions 523 to 796 of the family's 1533-position model. The record is from RNAcentral.